AAAAGCAGAUGUUCACGUGCUCGACCGCCUGCCGUACGCUGUGACAUUUCCAGAAAUGACACGUGAUGUCCGGAGACUUUAAUCUGCUUUACUACUGCAGUCAUUCCUCAAGCAGGACGGAUGAAACCAGCUACAAACGUUAUCAUAGCACAGCUGAACUUCAACGGAAAGUGGAGGUGAAUGAUCCGUGGAAAUAUUCGAUCUCUUUUCAACGUUAGCAGGGCAGAGGAUCUUCCGUUCACGUCGCUUUCGA
Molecule: long non-coding RNA, 253 nt
Organism: Cyprinus carpio (common carp)
Lineage: Eukaryota; Metazoa; Chordata; Actinopteri; Cypriniformes; Cyprinidae
Exons: 3
Source: RefSeq, a predicted model, not a curated record